AUAAGUACCCGGGUAGUCCCACGCCGUAAACGAUGUCGACUUGGAGGUUGUUCCCUUGAGGAGUGGCUUCCGGAGCUAACGCGUUAAGUCGACCGCCUGGGGGAGUACGGCCGCAAGGUUAAAACUCAAAUGAAUUGACGGGGGCCCGCACAAGCGGUGGAGCAUGUGGUUUAAUUCGAUGCAACGCGAAGAACCUUACCUACUCUUGACAUCCAGAGAACUUAGCAGAGAUGCUUUGGUGCCUUCGGGAACUCUGAGACAGGUGCUGCAUGGCUGUCGUCAGCUCGUGUUGUGAAAUGUUGGGUUAAGUCCCGCAACGAGCGCAGCCCUUAUCCUUUGUUGCCAGCGGUUCGGCCGGGAACUCAAAGGAGACGUGCCAGUGAUAAACUGGAGGAAGGUGGGGAUGACGUCAAGUCAUCGAUGGCCCUUACGAGUAGGGCUACACACGUGCUACAAGUGGCGUAUACAAAGAGAAGCGACCUCGCGAGAGCGAAGCGGACUCAUAAAGUACGUCGUAGUCCGGAUUGGAGUCUGCAACUCGUA
This 543-nucleotide ribosomal RNA is filed under the name uncultured bacterium. Its description in RNAcentral is "bacterial SSU rRNA". It matches the Rfam family "Bacterial small subunit ribosomal RNA", at positions 778 to 1316 of the family's 1533-position model. The record is from RNAcentral.